AGGGCAGAGAAGGGGGUGAGCGCCUACUCCAAUUACGGCAGGGGGACCAAACGGCUGUCUAGUACGCAGUACACCUUCCGGACAGUAACAGCAUCCAGUGGAUGGAAUGAGCCGGCGCUACGUACUCUAUUCAGAAGCGGUCUGCGAGAGGAGGUCUAGACGGAACUGGUCUGUCGUGACAACAACCUCUCCAUGGAUGCAUUCAUUGCGAUGGCCAUCUGCCUGGAUAACCUACUUCGGGAGAGUCAGUACUCUCAUCGCUUCUCUCCCUUCCUCAGUGAACACUCUGGAUCAGAGCCUAAACCCAUGGAGGUAAGUCACACGCUUUCCCGCGGCAGAGAGACACAGAUGGAGACAGCUGGGGCUCUGUCUUUAUUGUGGUCAAGGAAGGGCACCAGCUCCAGUAGUGUCCAGUACUUCCCAACCCGGGAUCCACGAGAGCAGAGGGAUGGUCAAGUGAUCUUCCACCUCCUGGGGCAGGACCCUCGAUAAUCGGCCACUAGGACCCAGGCCAUGGAGGAGCACAUCCAAGAGGCACUCCAACAAGGUUUCAUCCGCACGUCCACUUCUCCUGCGUCGGCUGGUUUCUUCUUCGUGCCUAAGAAGGAUGGAGGGUUACUUCCACGUCCAUGUAUUGAUUACAGAGGACUAAAUUAAAUCACCACUAAGUACCGUUACCUUCCCUCGUUGGUGCCGGCAGCCAUCUAACAGCUCCACGGGCCCGGUUCUUUACCAAACUGGACCUGCGUCCGGGAGGGGGAUGAAUGAAAGACAGCUUUUAGCACAAUGUCUGGUCACUACGAAUACCUGGUGAUGCCAUUUGGCUUAGCCAAUGCUCCAUCAGUUUUCCCGGAAUUUGGAGGAUCACAUCGCUCACAUUUGAGCAGUCCUGGAAUGCCUUGUGGUUAAUCACCUGUUCGUCAAGGCUGAGAAGUUCCAGUUUUAUCAGAAAGCUGUCUCCUUCCUAGGCUACCAAAUCAGUGCGCAGGGAGUGAGGAUGGACGUCAAGAAAGUGGAUGCGGCCGGUCCCAACCACAAUAAAGGGGUUACUAUGUUUUAUUUGGAGCCCGCACCCAUUAACUCCUGUUCCAUAUGUGCCCAAACCAAAUCCCCCUAUAAUGCUCCAGCAGGGAAACACCUUCCCCUUCCUGUGCCUCCUCAUCCCUGGUCUCAUCUAUCCACUGACUUUGUUACUGAUCUCCCCACCUCUGACGGUUUCACCACCAUUUUGGUGGUUGUGGAUAGAUUUUCCAAAUUCCGUCGUUGUAUCCCUCUCUGGACUCCCUACUGUUCUCUAGGUCGCAGAGGCACUAUUCCAGCAGGUCUUCUGGUAUUAUGGCCUUCCAGAGGACAUCGUCACUGACCGUGGCCCCCAAUUCACAUCAUGGGUAUGGAGAGCCUUUAUGGAGAAGCUCGGGGUCACGGUCAGCCUCACUUCCGGGUAUAGGCCUCAGUCCAACGGGCAGGUGGAGAGGAUGAAACAGGAGCUGGGGAGGUUCCUGAGGAGUCACUGUUAGGACCGGCAGGGAGAAUGGGCCCGAUUCCUUCCAUUCCACAGGCCACAAUCAACAGCCUGAUCAACUCUAUGCGAAGGAGAUGUGUCGCGCUGCAUGAGGCAUAUGGUGGUCACCCACUGGUUUUCUGAUCCACACCCCUUUUUUUUAAGGUAUCUGUGACCAACAGAUGCAUAUUUGUAUUCCUAGUCAGAUGAAAUCCAUAGAUUAGGGCCUAAUGAAUUUAUUUCAAUUGACUGAUUACCUUAAAUGAAAUUUAACUCAUUAAAAUAUUUGAAAUUCGUG
Oncorhynchus tshawytscha (Chinook salmon) is the source of this 1799-nucleotide long non-coding RNA. The record is from Ensembl. NCBI's taxonomy places the organism in Eukaryota, Metazoa, Chordata, Actinopteri, Salmoniformes, Salmonidae.